Molecule: unclassified non-coding RNA, 161 nt
Filed under: uncultured Pseudaegerita
Lineage: Eukaryota; Fungi; Ascomycota; Leotiomycetes; Helotiales; Hyaloscyphaceae
Description: sequence contains ITS1
Source: RNAcentral
CAGAGCAUCAUGCCCUUCGGGGUAGUUCUCCCACCCUGUGUAUUAUAUACCUUUUGUUGCUUUGGCGGGCCGCCCUCGGCCACCGGCUCCGGCUGGUGCGCGCCCGCCAGAGGACCCCAAACUCUGAAUGUUAGUGUCGUCUGAGUACUAUAUAAUAGUUA